CAGUGAAGCUGGUAAUAUUUGACCGAUGAGCUUCACCCGGCUUUAUUGAAAGCUGACUGCUAUAGACUGAUCGAAUAUUUUAUCCCAUCUAUUCGGCGCCUUUAGCUUCUCCAAAAAAAGUUUCUCCCUUAAUUCGUGAAGAGCAAAAGGGCACACGCCUUCGCGCACGCAUACACACCAUUCUACGCGCGAUACUGCGAGGUGCAGGCUGCAGGGCAUGGUUGGCGUAGGGGAGAUGCUGGCCUCGGCCAUCGUGAAGGCGGCCGUGAGCAAGCUGCUCUCGCUGGCCUUGUAUACCGUCCAAGGUCCGGUCAAGAGGACCCUUAGCUUCAAGGAGGACCUCAAGGAGAUGCAGGUGACGCUCAUGUUCUUGGAGGCGGGUAUCGCGGACGCAGAGAAGCGGUCCGUCAACGACCAGGUCGCUCGACUGUGGCUGAAACAGCUCAAGCAGGCAGCCUACGAGAUCUCCGACAUGUUUGAUGAGUUCCAACCAGGCAAGCUGCAGGCCCCUCCUACGCGGUACGAGCAGGUAUUGUUGAGUGGUGACAUGGCCAAGAAAAUGAAGAAAAUGAAUAAAAAGUUGAAAAACAUAAGUGAGCAGCGCAAAAGUUAUGGGACUGAGGGGCGGAUAUCUGAGUCCGAGCAAGAUAAGAUAAGUAUGAGAAAAGAAACAACUUCAAGAAUGGGAUCAAACGUGAUUGUCGGCCGAAGAGUUGAGAAACAAUCUGUCAUUAAUAUACUGCUCAGCUCUAAUAACAAAGCUUCUGCAACUAGUACAGUUAGUUGCCCUCAAGAAAGUAGUAACUAUACUGUUAUUUACGGGCUUGCUGGUGUUGGUAAGACGGAACUAGCGAAACUGGUGUUCAACGACGAAAGAAUCCAGGAGGCCUUUCCUCAGAGGGCAUGGGUUUACUUACACCAAAAUUCUGGCAUAAAUGACAUUGGCAGAGCUAUAAUAGGUGAACUUGAAGGUGGAGUUUGUAAGCUUGAGAACCAGGAAUCUAUGCACCAACAUCUUAAGAAGGUGCUCAGCGGUAGAUGCCUCAUUGUGUUGGACAAUCUUUGGUAUUCUGGUCAGUUGUCAGGAUUGGAGGGUAUACUAGGCAGCAACGACGUCACGAUCUUACUUACUUCACGCACAGCUAUUCACUUGAAUACGGCCAAAGCCAUAUUAUUCCACUUGGAAACUUUAUCUGACAAAUUUAGCUUCGAUUUAGUGAAGCAAGUUGCAUCCUCGUAUUUUGGUGAAUCCGACAUUCCGGAAAUUGCAAUGAAAGAAAUCGUGGAAAAGUGCAGAGGUGUACCUUUGGCUCUUAAAACAGUUGCCUCCCAGUUGAAGCCAGAAAGAGGUGUUAAGGAAUUAUUAAGUAUCAUAAAAAAUAUCUUUCAGCCCAAAUCAUAUGGAAUCAUGGGUAUCGAGCAAACUGUUACUGAAUCCCUUAAGCUGACUUAUCACCUAAUGACACCGUGUCUCAAGUUAUGCUUUGCUUAUUGUGCAAUAUUCCCUAAAGGCAGUGAAAUUGAUCGGGAAGACUUAUAUCACCAAUGGAUUGCUCUUGGGCUAAUUGAGGGAUCAUGUGAGCAGUCACCAAUAACUAAAAAGAUGUGCGCAGAGUACAAUGUUCAUCAAUUAUUGGACAUGUCAUUUCUGCAGGAUUCAGGGCCAUUUUCUGUUACCAAGAGGAGCACUGGAGCUCCUGCCAAACUUAAGAUGCAUGACUUGGUACACGACCUUGCUGUGUCAGUUGCAGAUGAUGAUUUGGUUGUUAUCAAUGGGGAGAAUACAGAAGCUAAAUUGUAUAGAUAUCGUUAUGCCAUGCUUGUUGCUUAUGAGAAGACAAACUUGCAUAAGGAUCUUCCAGCUGGGCUAAGGGCUCUGCAUAUUAAAGAUUGUCCUAGACUGAAGUUUAAGUGGUAUAAUUCUUCAUUGGUCAAAUGCUUGCGGAUCUUGGAUAUUAGUGGGUGUCGUAUUGAAAAAAUCCCAUCUUCGCUUGGAAAGUUGAUGCAGCUCAGGUACCUUAAUGCUUCAGGAACACAAAGCAAAGAGCUUCCCAAAGCCAUUGGCAGCCUUUCAAAACUACAAUAUUUGAACCUACAUGGCAGUUGCAUUUCUGGACUACCAGAGUCACCCACCAAACUGGGCCAAUUGAUGCAUCUAGACCUAUCAGACUGCGUGGAUUUGAAGACAUUACCCAAAUCGUUUUGCGAACUCGAAUGCCUCAGUCUGCUGACCCUAGAGAAUUGCUCCCAACUGUCUUCAUUACCUGACGAUCUUGGCAGACUCAAGAAUUUAGACAACCUAAAUUUGUCUGGCUGCUCCUGUCUUGACAUGUUGCCAGAAUCCCUUGGUGAGCUGGAAUCAUUAAGACAACUGGACCUAUCAGGCUGUAAGAAACUCACCAUGCUCCCGUAUUCUUUUGCUAGGCUUACUUGUCUCCAAUACCUGAACAUCUCAAGCUGUUCUGAGUUAGACAUACCUGUUGAUACUCUUAACAAUCUUGUCAAAUUGGAGUAUGUAAAUAUGUCGUCUUGUCCGAAACUUUUAGGUCUUCCUCAAGAAUUUUGCAGCCUUCAACAUCUCCAUACACUUAAUCUAUCGGAUUGUAGUAAGUUGACAAAUUUGCCAGAAAGACUGGGCCAAAUGAAAAGCAUCAGGUUCAUUUUGCUCGAUGGUUGUGCAGAAUCGGUGAGGAAACCCAUUCUACAACAUGGACUGGGUGCUGGUCUGCAGUCUUUGCCAGCAUUUGUCAUUGAAACAGAGGUUGACAGCAUCCGGAGCAAUAUUUCUCAACUUGAGCACGAGAAGUUCUCUGAGCUGGAACUAUAUCGCCUUGAAAAGGUGCGGACAGUUGAUGAGGCUGAAGCAAUAAAGUUGCCUGCCAGAUCAGGACUACGUAGUUUGGGACUGAUGUGGACCAUGAAUAUUGAAAGAUUCAUUGAGGACGAGACACUGCUUCAGACGCUUGAGCCACCUGAAGAUCUUCAGAAGUUUAGGGUGCAAGGUUACAUGGGCGAAAGGUUCCCUACAUGGAAUGUGGAAAUUGGUUCCUGCCGUCGGGGUCAGCUUGACGAAAUUGCGUUCAUGCAUUUUCCGAUGUGCAACAGUUUGCCGCACCUCGGGCAGCUUGCAAAUCUCAAGAACCUGCACCUAAGCAGAAUGCCCAAAAUCAGGAGAUUGGACAGAGAAUUGUGUGAUCACACUGGAGCACUCCGGACAUUAGAAAAAAUCACUUUGGAAUACAUGGAGAACCUAGAAGAAUGGUACACUACCAAGCCAUCAGGUAGUGGCCAACAGAAGCAGGAGGGAUUCAUGUUCCCUGCUCUUCAGGAACUGAACAUAUACCAUUGCCCUCGGUUAACAAUGCAUCCAUGUCCCCCAAGAAGCAUAAAAUGGGAAGUACGAGCGAGUAAUAGACCAGCGCAGCUUCUUCUGAAGAAGGAUGAGGUUAUGCGAUGGCUGGCGGACUACAUGGGCAUGCAGUGUCCCUUUGGUUACACCACUGAGUUGCAUGUUAGUGGCUCCAGCAGCAGUUCUCCCAGUACUACCGAUGGAUGGAAAUUCCAUGGUUCUCUCAUCACUCUAAAGGAUUUGCCAUGUGAUAGUUGCAGUUUGAUCGACACAUUGCUAGGCAAAGGUAGCAGCAUGCAAUUUUUAGUUUAUCUAGAGAUUUCAGGUGUUGAAGACACGAAGAGCUUGCAGGAACAAGUCGACACAGUUGCAUAUUCCACCCGAUCUAGCCUUGCCAAAUCAUGGCCGGAUUGGUUUUCUCAGCAACCUAGUAUAAAUAACGGAGCAUCACCGCAUUUUAUGGUAACAGGUUAUGCCAGUUGUGUACUCCAUGGUUGGAUCGAUGAAGUGACCUCCAUUCUUGGGAACCUUAUACGGAUCAACAUGGACGAGCUGCCGAUGUGCGACCGCCUACCGCCACUAGGUCAGUUGCCAAAGCUGCAGGAGCUGCGGCUGAAAGGGAUGCCUAAAAUCAAAAGAAUCGACAGGGACAUCUGUGGGAGUGACUGUUUAUCAUUUGAAUUGUUCUUCCCAAGGUUAACAAGGUUUGUCCUGAAUGGUAUGCCAAACCUAGAAGAGUGGGCCACUAAGGUGCCCAGUACUAGUGAUCAAUGCGGCCAAGAGGAAUUCAUGUUCCCUCGGCUAGUCAAGCUGACAAUUUGGAACUGCCCCAAGUUGAAGCUGAAGCCAUGCCUCCCAAGAGCAACGGAGUGGGACAUAAAUAACAGCGAUCAGGUAAUAGCAUCAUCCUAUGACAUAAAAAGCGGAGGUGAGCUAGCGACUACGCUGCAAGUAUUGCUAUGCAAGGUGCCUCCCAACCGGUGGAAAUUGCUUCACCAUCUCCCCGGGAUCCAAAGCUUGGCGAUUGUUAGCUGCCAUGGGAUGGAAGCCUUACCAGAGAGUGUUCGAAGCCUCUCCUCCCUCCAAUCGUUGACCAUAAGUAAAUGCCAUGUCCUGAAACACCUACCUGAAUGGUUGGGCGACCUCACCUCUCUUCAGAAGUUGAUGGUUGUGAGCUGCCCGGUGGAGUUCUUACCAGGGGGCAUGCGGCGCCUCUCUUUCCUUCGCUCGCUCAGUUUGAACUGCUGUGAUAGAAUGACAGCAUUGCCAGGGUGGUUGGGUGACCUCAACUCACUCAAGAAGGUGACAAUUGAAGGAUGCAAUAGCCUUAAAUCUUUGCCUCAGAUUUUUAUGCUGGAAGAUCUACUCAUUCGGUAUAAUGAUGAACUAGAGCAGUGGACCGAAUCAGAAGUGAACAAAGCUAAGUUUGCUCAAAUCAAACGAAAGGGUUUCUGGCUGGAGAGUCAUAGUGGGAGCAACAGCUACAUCCAGCCAGCAAGAUCGUUGCAUGUCCUUUGGGGACAUGAUGACAGAUACUGGAGGUUGCGUUCAAUUCCUGAAUCUAGGUUUGCGGUAUCCAUGGAGCUCUUAGAAGUCUGGUGGCUGGAGAUCGAGGGCAGUGUCCCAGCACAGGCCCUCCCAAUUAACACCAGCUACGAUGUAUACCUUGUCUACAAGCUAGCAGAUGAGCACGAUGGCCUCAGAUGGGGGCAGUCAUACGUCCAUGUCAAUGGGGUACACGCCAAUGGUGUCCAUGUUUCAUUUGUCGAUGAAGAUGCCGUGCAUUUGGAUGGCGUGGCUUACCCGGUUACCCGCUCUGAAGGUUGGAUGGAGCUCAGGCUCGGUGAGUUCGACAACAAUUGUGGUGAUAGCGAGAUCAAAGUGGGCGUCACAGAGAAGACGAAUACCUACGCCAAGAAAGGGCUCAUCGUUGAGGGCAUGGAGAUCAGAGUGAAGAGCCUAGCUACUAGCUAGAGAUGGCUCACCCUCCGACCCCCGAGCUUUUGGACCCUGCCGUGGACAAGAAGCAUCGCAGCUUCUUAUCCGCCGAGCACCAGACGGAGCUAGGAGUGUUUCGCCCACGAGGCCCUGGAGAGUUGCUGACGAUAGACGAGCGAUGGAAUCACAGGUUGGCAGCGGCUGGACUCCUACCGCUUUGCCGGUUGGUCGAGGCCCGAUCGACGGAGAACCCCGAGGUUGCGGCCCGUCGUUUCUACUUCGAUUGGUCGCUGAUAGCAGCACUGGUCGACUGUUGGAGGCUGGAGACACAUACGUUCCACCUCCCGUGCGGAGAGAUGACCCCGAUCCUGCAGGACGUCUCCUACCUCUUAGGCCUUCCUUGCUCGGGAGCUGCGGUUGGGGUCAUCGAUAUGCAGGCUGACUGGAUGAAGGACAUGCAUUAGCGAUUUGGCCCGGUGGAGCAAAAGGCGGACACACCCCCCUACGUGCCUGAGUUCUUAUCCGAUGCAUGAGGGCCAACGAAGAAGUGGAUCCUACAGUUCCAGGUACUGUAACAUACAACCUAUGGAAUACUAACAAAGUAUGUCGUAAUGAUCCUUUCUGACACCAGUCAUAUGUGCAACCGGCGUACAUACACCGACACGCCAACACAUACGCGGUCUCGAGACAUUUGGAGGCCUUCCUGCUUUGGUUGUUUGGGUGGGUGAUGUUCACUAGUGGCCAAGGCCACCUGGUUACCAGGACACUUGUGCCGUACGCCCGGUCGAUAGUGGACGCUGAUGCGGAGGACGUACCACAAUUCAACUGGGCAUCCGCUAUUCUUGCUGCGAUGUAUUGGGUGCUCUGCGACGCAUGCACGAAGAAGGAGGCACUAGCCACUUUCGCCGGGUGUCCACUUCUUCUUCAGCUAUGGUCGUACGAGCAUUUUGCCAUAGGCAGGCCAGUGAUGGACCGCUCCCCGUACCCAGAGGAAUGGUACGGCGAGACGGACGAGGACGCGCCUACAAUGGCCUCGAUGUGGUGUCGUCAUUGGCCACACUGGGCGCACGAGCAGCCUCGCAGCGCGUACGAGCAUUUUCGUACCCAGUUUGACAGGCUAUGUCCUGACGAUGUGGUAUGGGAGCCAUACAGCAUUCCGUCCGUGCAGGCGCGUGCAGGGUUGGGUUUGUCACCCUUGUGCACCCGUGACGAGGAGUACUGGCUCACGAAGGUGCCCCUUGUCUUUGACAUCUACGUCGAAGAGUACUCACCGCACCAUGUCAUACGGCAGUUUGGCUGUCACCAGGCAUUCCCGCUCGUCCACAUCCGUAGCGUCCCCGUGCAAGUCCACAAGUACACACGGAAAUGCCAGCCAGCUGGCAACCUCUUGGCGGAGCGCUUGGCCCCUUACGUGGCAACAUGGGCCCAAGCGCUACAAGACGUCGUGGAGGAGGCUCGUCCACACAGCGAGCGGAACUUCAGGGAGUACCUACGGUGGUAUGUACCACGUAUGCGGACCCGUGUCACCUACACCCCUGAGGAUGUCCAGCGCCACAUCGCAUCGACAACGGAGACAUACCCGGUGCAUUGGGACGAGGACACCGCUUUAGCAACAGAUAUCCUUUAUGACGUAAAUAGGGAUGCAGCUGCUGCCAUGGAGCGCGUCCAGCAAGGGCACCACCUAAGUGCGUCGGAUGUUGCGAGCUUCAUUAAACGGGUUUUCGACAAGACGAUACGCGCCUUGAAGCUCACCUCCUGCCGAUCUACCACAGAUGUAGCAGGGCCGCCUCCCAGAUCGAGUAGUGUACACGCCGAGUCAUCUUGACCGUCAGACGUGCACCGACGUUCUUCAGUGUCGGCACCCACACGACCCCUUCUACCACGUCAUGGAGGGUCGGAGCAACAUGGUCCGCCUGCACAAGUCUCGAUGUAGCCUCGUAGAUCGAGCCCUGUGCGUCCACCCUCAGGUUACUUCGGUGACGAGGCCGGUCCGUCUUCGACGGCCCCACGCCCUACCCCGCCCGCAACGUACUACGGCACGUCAACGUGGCCUUCUUCUGCUGCACCGUCGUACCACGCAGGCCCCUCCAGCUAGUACACAUGGACGCCUGCCGAGCCUUCACAGUCCUCCUACCCUAGUCAGGAGGAUGAGGCUGGCCCCGACACCGCAUACGACAUCGUCCAUGACUUCUUCGGGGGCACACCUGACUACGACGUCCUUCAGCGGUCCCAGGUUUCCAGUGCUCCCCUUCGGACACAGCCCACACAGGACGAGCCCUCGACACCGGUGGUCCCUACUAGGCCUACCAGACACGUCGGUCCACCCGACCCCCUCACCUACUCCAGGGGUCACGUGAGGGUUAACCAGCGGCAUCGGGACCACGAUGGGGCGCACGGUCGACGGCAACGAGGGAGGCAUGAGUAGCAUUUUAUAUUUUAUGUAACUAACAUAUGCAUAUUCGCUUCGUGAUGUACUCCUAUGUAUUAAGACACGUUUACUUUGUAUGGUCGACUUAGUAUUUCGUAAA
Molecule: RNA transcript, 7815 nt
Organism: Phragmites australis (common reed)
Lineage: Eukaryota; Viridiplantae; Streptophyta; Magnoliopsida; Poales; Poaceae
Gene name: putative disease resistance protein RGA1
Exons: 13
Source: RefSeq, a predicted model, not a curated record